RNAcentral lists this long non-coding RNA (223 nucleotides) under Lathyrus oleraceus (garden pea). Its description in RNAcentral is "Pisum sativum (pea) long non-coding RNA (PSAT_LNC027075)". Lineage: Eukaryota; Viridiplantae; Streptophyta; Magnoliopsida; Fabales; Fabaceae. The record is from RNAcentral.
UUUGAUUCACAUUGAUUCGAAAUUAAUCGAUACGAAACGAGUUUUGAAAAUCCACUUGACGUUGGAUCAAGGGUUUUUAUUAUAUUUGAAAAUAUCUUAUUUAUCCUUUAUUUUUUUAGUUAAUUAAGAUGAUUUAUAAAUAAAUAAAUAAAAGGAAAUAAGAAAGAAAAUGGGUGUGACAGAAAUGUGGGGUAGAUGGGGAUAACAAUAAACUUAUCAUGGC